This 465-nucleotide ribosomal RNA is filed under the name Vreelandella stevensii. RNAcentral describes it as "partial 16S ribosomal RNA". It matches the Rfam family "Bacterial small subunit ribosomal RNA", at positions 338 to 795 of the family's 1533-position model. The record is from RNAcentral. Lineage: Bacteria; Pseudomonadati; Pseudomonadota; Gammaproteobacteria; Oceanospirillales; Halomonadaceae.
CCUACGGGGGGCAGCAGUGGGGAAUAUUGGACAAUGGGGGGAACCCUGAUCCAGCCAUGCCGCGUGUGUGAAGAAGGCCCUCGGGUUGUAAAGCACUUUCAGUGAGGAAGAACGCCUGGUGGUUAAUACCCAUCAGGAAAGACAUCACUCACAGAAGAAGCACCGGCUAACUCCGUGCCAGCAGCCGCGGUAAUACGGAGGGUGCGAGCGUUAAUCGGAAUUACUGGGCGUAAAGCGCGCGUAGGUGGCUUGAUAAGCCGGUUGUGAAAGCCCCGGGCUCAACCUGGGAACGGCAUCCGGAACUGUCAAGCUAGAGUGCAGGAGAGGAAGGUAGAAUUCCCGGUGUAGCGGUGAAAUGCGUAGAGAUCGGGAGGAAUACCAGUGGCGAAGGCGGCCUUCUGGACUGACACUGACACUGAGGUGCGAAAGCGUGGGUAGCAAACAGGAUUAGAUACCCGAGUGGUC